RNAcentral lists this ribosomal RNA (465 nucleotides) under Vreelandella stevensii. RNAcentral describes it as "partial 16S ribosomal RNA". It matches the Rfam family "Bacterial small subunit ribosomal RNA", at positions 338 to 795 of the family's 1533-position model. Lineage: Bacteria; Pseudomonadati; Pseudomonadota; Gammaproteobacteria; Oceanospirillales; Halomonadaceae. The record is from RNAcentral.
CCUACGGGGGGCUGCAGUGGGGAAUAUUGGACAAUGGGGGGAACCCUGAUCCAGCCAUGCCGCGUGUGUGAAGAAGGCCCUCGGGUUGUAAAGCACUUUCAGUGAGGAAGAACGCCUGGUGGUUAAUACCCAUCAGGAAAGACAUCACUCACAGAAGAAGCACCGGCUAACUCCGUGCCAGCAGCCGCGGGAAUACGGAGGGUGCGAGCGUUAAUCGGAAUUACUGGGCGUAAAGCGCGCGUAGGUGGCUUGAUAAGCCGGUUGUGAAAGCCCCGGGCUCAACCUGGGAACGGCAUCCGGAACUGGCAAGCUCGAGUGCAGGAGGGGAAGGUAGAAUUCCCGGUGUAGCGGUGAAAUGCGUAGAGAUCGGGAGGAAUACCAGUGGCGAAGGCGGCCUUCUGGACUGACACUGACACUGAGGUGCGAAAGCGUGGGUAGCAAACAGGAUUAGAUACCCCAGUAGUC